AAGGGUAUAGCUCAACCGGUAGAGCAACGGUCUCCAAAACCGUUAGUGUGGGUUCAAGUCCUACAAUCCUUG
Molecule: transfer RNA, 72 nt
Filed under: Candidatus Enterococcus clewellii
Lineage: Bacteria; Bacillati; Bacillota; Bacilli; Lactobacillales; Enterococcaceae
Description: Enterococcus sp. 9E7_DIV0242 tRNA
Rfam family: tRNA
About the family: Transfer RNA (tRNA) molecules are approximately 80 nucleotides in length. Their secondary structure includes four short double-helical elements and three loops (D, anti-codon, and T loops).
Source: Rfam by way of RNAcentral